ACCGUCCUGCUCUCACCACGGCUGCCCUGUCUCCCAGCCGUUCCCCAUUCUAGCUCUGUACUCGCCAACUCCCUCUCUCGACAUCCUCCCUACCUCCAGGCUCCAGCGCGAGGACUCGCAGCCCUACUCUUCCUCGCCCCUUCCCGUCGAAUCCGGUCGCCGAACUGCACGAGGAGGCGCUCGAGCUCGUCAUGCUCACGGGCGAGCCAGUCUUAGGCGCCGUCGGAGGCACGGGACUCACCGGCGGGGACGCCCUGCCCUGUCUGGUCUCCCGCGCCCAGCUCCGAGUAUGAAGGCGUGGAGCAAGAUGGCCGUGGCAGCGGGUUGUGGUGGUCGUCCUCGGGGAGGCGGCGACAACUAUGGCGCUGAGUGUUGGAGGUUGGUGCGUCCACGGGGGAAGUUGAAGAGCGAGGGCGUGAGGGGCUGGCCAUCCUCGCGCAACCAGUGCAGUGCAAAGGGGGCUUCAAUCCCGUCUGAUGCAGUUAUUCUUGGGGUUCCCGUAUAAGAGAAUCUACAGUGCUCAGCUCAGCCUACCUUCAGUUCUGACGGCGUCGCCCAUGGAUCCUCAGGCACAGCUAUAAUUGAGAGUUUAUCCAGAUCGAUGAACCUCGAGCAAGCGGCCGUGACCCACAUCACCUGACCUCGAGCAAGCGACCGUGACCCACAUCACCUGACCUUGACCCACAUCGAACAAGAGUGCAAAUCGACCAUGACGUCCAGCCUCGGCCACAAGUAUUUCUUCACCCACCGCUGAUUGUGAUGAUUGGGUUGCCAUCAUGAUUCAUAGAGGAUAAGCACCAGCAACGAGGAACUGGGAAGGAGAGGUUGAUACUUGAGAUAGGUUCUACGAUAGCAAUGGUGGUGGCAGCGUCUUGCAAUUCACAUAAAUGGGGUGGAGAAUAGCAAGGAUUAAUCUUCAAAUCCAACUAGCCAACACUUCACAAUGUAUGGCUACGAUGGUGGCAGAAUGGAGGAGCUCAUUGUGUUCUGUAAGAUGGCUGUGUGGUAUGUGGAGUGAAGAUGCAUCUAGCAUCAACUUCUUAGUUAUUGAGGACACCUUUACUUGGUGGUGCUACUGGCACCCAAAUAUCUCAUUUCUCUUGAUUAUAUAGUGAAAGUAAUUCACUCAUGUUCGCCCAAAUUCCCAAAUUUUUAUAUUUGAAAAGUUUGGUCUGAUCAAAUAUGUUAAAUAUUGACACAUACUCCCUCCAUCCGUAAUUACUUGUCGUUCAAAUAGAUGUGCUAGAUACAUCCGUUUGGCCGAUAAGUAAUUCCGGAUGCAGGGAAUAUUUGACUAUGCCUAUUUUUUUUAUUGCUCUUGGUGGGAAGGGAUAAGUGUUAUGAAUUGUUGCUAUUGUUGUGAGAAACAUAUAUUGUUGAGCUUACAGAUAAGCACAUAGAGGAUGAAAAAUAUAAUAUUACUUAUGUGUUGUUGUGCUAUUUCAUCUCCUGAAUUCGAUGCAAUGAAGUGAAUAAGGAGGUGGUGCUCAAGGGAACAAAGGGUAGAAGAAUAUA
This is a long non-coding RNA of Triticum dicoccoides, 1515 nucleotides long. RefSeq lists it as uncharacterized. NCBI's taxonomy places the organism in Eukaryota, Viridiplantae, Streptophyta, Magnoliopsida, Poales, Poaceae. The record is from RefSeq and is a predicted model, not a curated record. The transcript is spliced from 4 exons.